Frieseomelitta varia is the source of this 4111-nucleotide RNA transcript. It is a transcript of the gene named NAD(+) hydrolase sarm1, with no coding region annotated. The transcript has 11 exons. The record is from RefSeq and is a predicted model, not a curated record. NCBI's taxonomy places the organism in Eukaryota, Metazoa, Arthropoda, Insecta, Hymenoptera, Apidae.
UCAGAGGGAGAGAAUAGGAAGAUAAAGGUUGAAAAAGGUCGGCGAAUAUCUAGAAAAUUCCUAGAAGGAAAUCCUUUAAUAUUGUAAUUCUCUGAAGAGAAUGACAGGAAAAGGAGAGAAAUUUCAAGAGACUUGGUAGAAAGGGACACACUGAAUCGUUCGAAACCGACAGACAUGAUAUUAGAAACUCGAAGAAAGAGACAAAUUGACAAAAAACUGAUGAAAAUUGACAGACGAAGAUCUAGAAAAUUGUCGAGAAAAGAAUUCUUCUUCGAGAUGACGUCGUGUAAAUUCCAAUAAUUUUAAUUAAUAACGAAAGACUGUAUUUGAACAUCAUCGUCGAAGAUGAGGACGACGGGACGAGAACGAAUCUCAACACAAGCGGAAAGAUCAGACGGUCUUCCCUCUUUCAAGAGUUUUCACCGAAUUAAUCGAUCAAAUUUGCUAGAAUGUGUUAACAGAGAAACGAUUGGACUUUCGAUGGGCCAGCUGGCUUAAAUACCAACGCGAUAAUAAACGACAACUUUCUCGAAGCAGGUUCUCGGUGCAACGAUGACGAACAGAGGAGCCGAUUGUGCGAGAAAAAUUCAGAAAGGCGUCCGGCGCGUCGUGGUGUCAACCGGUGCGUGGCUUGGUUCUUUCGCUGUUUGAGAGGUCCCGGGAACCAUGGGAAAUGGAUCGUCCUGCUGUCCGCAUCGCAAAAAGAUGUCGGAGUUUCCAGUGGAGGGAGCGGAAAACGGUGACAUGCACACGGUCAUGGAGAAUUUCCACAAGAAGAACAACAUGGUGACCGGAAGGAGUCAUGUCACCCAGCAUCCACAGGUCACUUCGUCGUCGCAGAUGCUGACGACGAACCAGAGCCAGAGCAGCAGCAGCAGCUCGAGCAGGGUGGCCAAAUCCUCGCAGAGGAUUCUCACAUCGUCCUCGUCGAGUGAGAUGAAAGCAAGCUCGAUGAAGAGCGAUCUGAGAGAACUACAGCGCGGCAUAUCCGAAAUGAAGAACAAUAUCUCGACGAAUUUUUCGCAACGAUUGCGUAGCAGCAUGGAGAACCUCGUGGACAGGGAUGGAAACGGAACGGAAGAGGGUGACUUGACCGAGCCGUUGGUGACGUUUCCGGAUCCAGAUACACCGCCACCUGCCACCGGAACGGUCACGUUGACUGGUGGAUCACCCUCGCAAUUGAGCUCUCUGAAUUCGUUAAACAAUCUUCACAGCAUGAGCCCGCCGAUCAGCAUGUCGAACAUCUCGAACAUACCGAACCUACCUGCUGGACAGGAAACGAUGAAAUUCGAGCAAAAGAAAAUGACGAGCGCUUCCAAGACCAAGGUUGUCACGGACGGUUUCAGCGCUGAAAAGGCGACGGCGAAUAGCGCCGAGAUGAGAGCUUUGCUAGCUGGCGACGUCUCGUACAAAGAGCAAAGCGCCGCGACGGCGGCCAGGGCGCGUGUCGAACUCGACGGCGUCUCCGCUGAGAAAAGCGUCGCCGCAGCAAGGGAACAAAGAAGUCUGAAAGCUGGCGAUCUGUCGCAUCAGGAAAGCAACAACAUAGCCGCGUCCACGAUGAAGCUCCAGAGCGACUCCUUUAGCUCAGAGAAAAAGGCCAUGGCAGCGCAACAACAACGACAAACAGUUACGUCGACCGGUAUCUUCAACCACGAGAAGCACAUCUCCACAGCUAGUUCACAAUCGAGCAUCACAAUCGCCAAAGGGAUCACUUCGAAAUCUUCAAUGAUCAGCGCUGCGAGUGCUGUGAAUCAACUGAUGAAUGGCAUGAGGCCGGCCGAAGAUGAACUCCUUUCCCUGCCUCUCGACGAUCUGGAUCUUCUGUGCUCGAAAUCGAACCCCCAGGACGUCGACCGUGCCAUCGCCAAAUACUCCAAUUUCCUAGACAGUUUUGUGGAACGUCUGAAAGCGAACGACUACAAAAACGGCAAGGCGCCGCUGUUGUUGAACAGAGUGAACGAAAUAAUCAGAAAAGCAUGGGCAGUGCCGACUCAUGGCCACGAAUUAGGGUACAGUCUGUGUAACACCCUUCGAACAAGAGGCGGUCUUGAUUUAUUAAUGUCCAACUGCGUGGCCAGCGACAAAGAACUGCAGUUUUCCUCGGCCAGAUUGCUGGAACAAUGUUUAACCACGGAGAACAGAGCACACGUGGUGGAACACGGUUUGGAGAAAGUUGUGAACGUUGCCUGUGUAUGCACAAAGAAUGCUAACUCAGUCGACCACUCCAGAGUGGGCACCGGAAUCUUGGAACAUCUGUUCAAGCACAGCGAGGGGACUUGUAGCGAUGUGAUCAGGCUAGGCGGUUUGGACGCUGUCCUAUUUGAAUGCAGAAAGAAUGACGUUGAAACGUUAAGACACUGUGCCGGUGCCUUGGCCAAUCUGUCUCUGUAUGGUGGUGCAGAGAAUCAGGAAGCAAUGAUCAAAAGGAAAGUGCCUAUGUGGCUGUUUCCAUUAGCUUUCCACAAUGACGAUAACAUUAAGUACUACGCCUGUCUGGCGAUCGCUGUAUUAGUAGCCAAUAAGGAAAUAGAAGCAGCAGUGUUGAAGUCUGGUACGCUGGACCUGGUCGAGCCGUUUGUAACCUCACACAAUCCUUAUGAAUUCGCCAAGUCGAAUCUAGCUCAUGCACAUGGUCAGAGUAAAAAUUGGCUCGAGAGGUUGGUGCCAGUAUUAAGUUCAAAGAGAGAGGAAGCCAGGAACUUGGCUGCUUUUCAUUUUUGUAUGGAGGCUGGUAUCAAGAAACAGCAGGGCAACACUGAGAUCUUCCGCGCGAUAGGUGCCAUCGAACCGUUAAAGAAAGUAGCUAGUUGCCCAAACGCGAUAGCAUCUAAAUACGCGGCGCAGGCGUUGCGAUUGAUCGGAGAGGAGAUCCCUCAUAAACUCAGCCAACAGGUGCCACUUUGGUCUACAGAGGAUGUCAGGGAGUGGGUAAAACAAAUUGGAUUCGCGGAAUGCGCGCAGAAUUUCGUGGAAAGUAGGGUAGACGGUGAUCUGUUGUUACAACUGACGGAAGAGAAUCUCAAGGAAGACAUUGGUCUGACAAAUGGUAUCAAACGGCGAAGGUUUACUAGGGAGUUGCAGAAUUUGAAGAAGAUGGCUGACUAUAGUAGUAGAGACACGGGGAACUUGAAUAGCUUUUUGCAAUCUAUCGGCCAGGAGUUCUCAAUCUACACGUACAGUAUGCUCAACGCUGGCGUUGACAAAGACUCUAUCAGGAAUCUCUCUGAGGACCAAUUAUUGACAGAAUGUGGUAUCGCGAAUAGUAUCCAUAGGCUGAGGAUAUUGGACGCUAUUAAGAACAUGCAGCACAAUCAGUUGGGCUCUUCGGAGGAUGAGUCGCCAGACAAAUCUUUGGAUGUAUUUGUUAGUUACAGAAGAUCAAAUGGAUCUCAAUUGGCCAGUCUGUUGAAAGUCCAUUUACAACUAAGAGGUUUUUCUGUCUUCAUUGACGUCGAAAGGUUAGAAGCUGGUAAAUUUGACAAUAAUCUGCUACAAAGCAUCAGACAGGCAAAACACUUCCUCCUUGUGUUAACGCCCAAGGCUUUGGAAAGGUGUAUACAAGACAGUGAAUGCAAAGACUGGGUUCAUAGGGAGAUUGUAGCAGCUCUACAGUCGCAGUGUAAUAUAAUUCCAAUCAUAGACAACUUCCAGUGGCCAGAGCCUGAGGAACUUCCUGAAGACAUGCGAGCAGUUUGCCAUUUCAAUGGUGUACGAUGGAUCCACGAUUACCAAGACGCCUGCGUAGACAAACUAGAAAGGUUUAUGCGAGGUGAAAUACCAGUCAGAUCAGACAUCCCGAGAAGCAUCGCGCCCAAGGACGUGACGCAACCAAACACACCGAGUAAUACGAACAUUCGACAACCACCGAGUUACCAGCGCAUGCACAGCAAUGAAAGUAGAGGCAGUGAUAAAGAUUCGACAGGAGGGCGAGAUUGACUAGAAGGCCCGCCCACAGCCAUACCGAGCAGCCAGGAUUAACAAUUGCGCUAAAGCAAUCAGUCAUGUCUAGGCUUAGAAAAUCGUCAAGUCCGUCCCGUUGGUUAAUGGGUUUACCGCCUACGUCUCCGCGAUUGAAAUUCACCCAUGCACAGUCUGGAGGAAGUCCAAU